CAGCAGCCACGGUAAUACGGAGGGGGCUAGCGUUGUUCGGAAUUACUGGGCGUAAAGCGCGCGUAGGCGGCUUGGUAAGUUAGAGGUGAAGGCCUGGAGCUCAACUCCAGAAUUGCCUUUAAGACUGCCGAGCUAGCAGGUGAGAGAGGUAAGUGGAAUUCCGAGUGUAGAGGUGAAAUUCGUAGAUAUUCGGAAGAACACCAGUGGCGAAGGCGGCUUACUGGCUCAUACUGGACGCUGAGGUGCGAAAGCGUGGGGAGCAAACAGGAUUAGAUACCCGAGUAGUCCCUGUCUCUUAUAC
RNAcentral lists this ribosomal RNA (301 nucleotides) under uncultured bacterium. RNAcentral's name for it is "partial 16S ribosomal RNA". It matches the Rfam family "Bacterial small subunit ribosomal RNA", at positions 509 to 807 of the family's 1533-position model. The record is from RNAcentral.